This 458-nucleotide ribosomal RNA is filed under the name uncultured bacterium. RNAcentral's name for it is "bacterial SSU rRNA". It matches the Rfam family "Bacterial small subunit ribosomal RNA", at positions 33 to 509 of the family's 1533-position model. The record is from RNAcentral.
ACGCUGGCGGCAUGCCUAACACAUGCAAGUCGAACGGAGUUUGAGGAGCUUGCUCCUUGAACUUAGUGGCGGACGGGUGAGUAACGCGUGAGUAACCUGCCUUUCAGUGGGGAAUAAUAUUCUGAAAAGAGUACUAAUACCGCAUAACAUACAGAAGUCGCAUGGCUUUUGUAUCAAAGAUUUAUCGCUGAGAGAUGGACUCGCGUCCGAUUAGCCGGUUGCGGGGUAACGGCCCACCAAAGCAACGAUCGGUAGCCGGACUGAGAGGUUGAACGGCCACAUUGGGACUGAGACACGGCCCAGACUCCUACGGGAGGCAGCAGUGGGGAUAUUGUGCAAUGGGGAAACCCUGACACAGCAAUGCCGCGUGAAGGAUGAAGGUCUUCGGAUUGUAAACUUCUUUUGUCAAGGAAGAUAAUGACGGUACUUGACGAAUAAGCUCCGGCUAACUAUGUGCC